UUUGCACACAAGCUCUAGGUCAUUGUUUUACCAUUUAAUAACUUGUUCAUGUGUGCAGAAAUGAAUUGUACCUUGUUGCUUUUUGAAUAUUUAGUGUUUCGUGAAGUGAAAGUUAAGAUAUUACAUAA
Pristis pectinata (smalltooth sawfish) is the source of this 128-nucleotide small nucleolar RNA. RefSeq annotates it as small nucleolar RNA SNORA68. The transcript has a single exon. NCBI's taxonomy places the organism in Eukaryota, Metazoa, Chordata, Chondrichthyes, Rhinopristiformes, Pristidae. The record is from RefSeq and is a predicted model, not a curated record.